Long non-coding RNA from Pelobates fuscus (common spadefoot toad), 1063 nucleotides. RefSeq lists it as uncharacterized. The transcript has 3 exons. The record is from RefSeq and is a predicted model, not a curated record. NCBI's taxonomy places the organism in Eukaryota, Metazoa, Chordata, Amphibia, Anura, Pelobatidae.
AGGCCUGGGAAUUGAAGGGUUCUGCGCAAUAUCUUCUCUUCUGGACAGCGAUCUCAGAUGUCCCACCUUGAAUCUGUUGAAGUCACUCCCCUAACUUUGGAGUCACAGCCCGAGUGCUCCUAUCACAACUCGGACUACUACUACUGUAUAUAUACACACACACAUAUUAUACAUACAGAGAGAGAGAGAGAGAGAGAUGUGUGUAUUUAUAAUGUGUCAGUGCUUUGUUAAACACAGAUCUACACACACCUGUCAAGCCAUAAGACUUGCUUUUCCCACAGAAAUCUUAAAUUUGCAGUGAUAUUACUACUGCAGGGGAAUCUGGGUAAGCAUAUGGUAAUGAGUUCAGCAAAUAAUCACAUUGUUGCCUCGUUAUGCAAUUUUAUGUUAUAUAAAAUACAAACAAAAUGUCUUCUUUUGAUUUCUUUGUAUUCUUCAGAUGAGUAUUCCUGGGGAAGAUCUCUGGCUAUGCCCUGUGAACUUCGGAGCUCACUGGAUUUUAGUGGUAUUUACUAUAGGACUACGUUAAUUAAACUUUCUUUACUUGUGUUAUCAUGUGCUUUUAUAAUUCAUGUAAUUAUGUUACAUAUACAGAUAUUUACCUACAUCCCUCUGACACCGCAGAACACACCAGCUGUAUACACCAAUAAUAUGAAUGUCAUAAAGAAAAUGUUGUGUUUUCCUGAAUUAUCUUUUAGAUUGUCAUCAUGUCGAAGAAGGUUAUUGUGCUAAUUGACCCACUGGGAAAUGAACAUAAUUGUCUAUUAAAAGUACAGCACAAUUGGAGGGGAGUGUGUCUUGGGAAAAAGUUUUCACUUAAACUGAUGUGCACAACAUUCAAUUAAAACUUGUGUAAUUUCUUGUUAUUUUUUCCUAGUAUGUUCUUGAAGAAGUAUAUUCCUGAAGAAGAAGUAGCCCAAUUGAAUAUCCAUGUAAUGCAUCACAGCAACCAGGAGGAUACCAGCAGCUGUGGAGUUUUGAUCUUGAUGUUUGCCAAGGAGUUUCUUCAGACCAGAACCAUACAUGCAGUGAAGACCUCUGCAGAAGAUGUAGCUGAUGCACG